AGCAGCCGCCGCGGGAAAACGAAGGGGGCUAGCGUUGUUCGGAUUUACUGGGCGUAAAGCGCACGUAGGCGGACUUUUAAGUCAGGGGUGAAAUCCCGGGGCUCAACCCCGGAACUGCCUUUGAUACUGGAAGUCUUGAGUAUGGUAGAGGUGAGUGGAAUUCCGAGUGUAGAGGUGAAAUUCGUAGAUAUUCGGAGGAACACCAGUGGCGAAGGCGGCUCACUGGACCAUUACUGACGCUGAGGUGCGAAAGCGUGGGGAGCAAACAGGAUUAGAUACCCCAGUAGUCCCUGUCUCUUAUAC
This 303-nucleotide ribosomal RNA is filed under the name uncultured bacterium. RNAcentral's name for it is "partial 16S ribosomal RNA". It matches the Rfam family "Bacterial small subunit ribosomal RNA", at positions 507 to 807 of the family's 1533-position model. The record is from RNAcentral.